RNAcentral lists this ribosomal RNA (253 nucleotides) under uncultured bacterium. RNAcentral's name for it is "partial 16S ribosomal RNA". It matches the Rfam family "Bacterial small subunit ribosomal RNA", at positions 524 to 776 of the family's 1533-position model. The record is from RNAcentral.
UACGAAGGGGGCUAGCGUUGCUCGGAAUCACUGGGCGUAAAGGGUGCGUAGGCGGGUUUUUAAGUCAGGGGUGAAAUCCUGGAGCUCAACUCCAGAACUGCCUUUGAUACUGAAGAUCUUGAGUCCGGGAGAGGUGAGUGGAACUGCGAGUGUAGAGGUGAAAUUCGUAGAUAUUCGGAAGAACACCAGUGGCGAAGGCGACUUACUGGACACAUAUUGACGCUGAGGUGCGAAAGCGUGGGGAGCAAACGGG